UCUCCGGCUGAACAGCAGCGAGCCCGCGGAUCUGGCCUCCCAGGAGUGGAAGAAACGAGGAGCAGGCGCCGCCCGAUGGGGGAGGAGAUGGCGCCCAGGGAGAGGGGUGGCAGCGGCCCCUCUGCCUACCACCGAGCUCUGGGAGAAACAUGGCGGCGUCGGCAGAGAGCAUGGGAGCGACAACGGUGACUGGAUGCCAGGAGCUUGACGAGGUCCAUGCCGGCAGCAUCUUUGCCCUCAACCUUGCUGGCGGCGUGGCUGUACAAACGGCGCCGGUCGAGGGCGGAGAAGGACAUGCUGGCAGCAGAGGUGAUGGCAACACGCACCAGACCUCUGGCUUCCCCAUCAAGGGCGAGGAGCUCAUUCGGAUCGUCACCAAGAACUACUGCCAUCUUGUUCCUGGCAGCUCAGUAAGCUUGCUAUCCUUGCUAUUAACCUCAUUAUUUCUGGUGGUGGUAUAAUUUAAUAGAACUACAUAAUGAGCUGUGUGCAUCGGAUUGUGUUUACUGUUCAGGCGUCGUGGAUUCAAAGAGCUCAGUUCUGGUAAGCAAGACCCUGAGGUGUGCAGCAAGUAUGUGGAGGUUAAGGAGUGUGCCCAUGUGAAUCUUUAUUUAGUUGCAAUACAACAUAAUGAGCUACCUGAGUCCGAAACUUAAUUUGCAAAUUAGCUAUUGCAAAGGGAUGAACGGGUAGAACAUAUGGAGAAUGCAAUUAGCCCCGGCAAAUAAACCGGCUUCCAUAUCCUAGGCAAUAAUCUCCAAAGGGAAGUGGAGGAUGAACCUGAGUUGGAACAGGCUUAGUGAAACAGACAUGUCACAACACGACACUUAAGUGCCCAAGACCGAUAUAUAGGACGGCAAGUCAAAAUGUAUUAUCAAACGAAACAAGUUGCAGCUAGCAACAAUUGCUCUACUAGGCCAAUGUCAUGUCAAGCCUGCAAUCUGAUGCUAGGGAUUCACUUCUUUAUUUGGUGAUAUUCAGGAGGAGGUUUUACAGUUUGAUGUUUUGAAUUUAACAAUUAUGUUUGAGAGGACCCUUGACAUCAAUGAAAUUGCAGUGAUAUUCAGACAAUUUUAAGAAACACAUGCAAAGGAGUCCAAACGGGCUUGGCGUACAUGGUUUUCAGUUAACAUGUCUUAUUUUUGCAGUGAGUGAUCGACAAAGGAAGCACAAGGAAAAGAGCAAGCCAAUACAUUGAUGGAUUGGGCGACUUGUUCCUGUUAGUUUCUCUAUUGGCAAAGAACAAAAUCCUAUUAAUUAAUUUGUGUGUAUGCAUAAUGUGAUAGUUAAUCAAUGGGCUGUGUAUGGUGACAUAAUGAUAAUACAUUUUGAAACUAAUACUAUUUGUGUAGUUUAGUUUUGCUAGAUAGUGUGUGCUAAAAAAGUAUUCAGUUUAUGUACAAGAUCAGGUUCAUUUGUCUUGCUUAUCAUGAUUGGCUUAAAACAUAUGUUGGUAUUUAUUAGAAAAUAUCUUUGUGCUUGGGUCAGGUGUGAAAAAUGUCGAAAAUGGUGAUGUUCUCUUUUAUGGAUUAGAGUGCCAAAUUGUUUUGUAUAUCAUGUGGCUAAAAUCAAGUUUAGCGUCUUCUUUUGGUGUCCAUUUUCUACUUGUUUCCAGAUCUUUGUGUUUUGAUGCCAUGCCAGCUGCUAAUACAAAGUUUCUCAUGCUACAAGACUUUUCUGGGAGCAAAAAGUUGGGCUAUACAGUCUGCACUACUAUGCUUUGGAAAUAUAGCAUAUGACGAGCAGACGGGUAAAGAGGUUGAAGUUGGAUCUGCAGGGCAUGGUCCACUGGCCAAUUCUUCUUCUCUACCUGGAGGUGGUAUCGAGUGACUUCAUGAAGCAGAUAUUCGGCUUCUGCAUUACAAUAUUCAUUUUCAUAAAUGCAGAAAUAGUUUGUAUCAUGAUUUCUUAAAAAAAUCCAGAGGUUUGCCCCAUACCAAGAAAACAUUUGAACCUUAACCUACAUAUGUGCAUAUAAGCUUAAAAACAUGGAGCUGCCAAUGUUCACCUAACAACUUGAAUGCAGCAGAAAGUGUUCUCUAAAUCUGGGUUCAGUGUAGAAAUUAAUGCGGUUCGUACAAAUUUAAAUUAUGGUCCAGCUAUUUUUUUUUUCAUACACCAUUAUUUGAUACAAAGUUCCUAAUGAUACUGACUUGUCGAUAAUAAUGCUUUCAAUUAUUUGGAACAUAUGCUGAAAACUGACUUCAUAUAACAUUGUCAGAAGCAAGUCUACAACAUAUACUUAGAUCAUUCCUGAUUACUCUUUUCUAUUUGAAUUACUAUGCCUAAUUGAUAUAUUAAAUAUUGCAUCUUCUCAUUUGACAUGUAGUUCUGCAGUUGUGUCCAUUUCACCUGCUCUUUUAAUGAUGCCAUCAUGAUUCCUCCUUUUCUUUGCUUGGUGUAUGUUUAUUCAAUGGUCCAGUUGGUGUUCCAAAAACAUGCUCGAUUGUUAUAUGUAUCAAAUACAGUCUCUUCCAGUGGUGGACAUUAAUUUCUCUCCCUUUCUUGACCCUGCAUAUCUCUGAAGAAGUGCUAAGCUCCACUGAAUUUGGUCAUGUUGGGCACCACCGUCAUCAUACCAAGCAUGCUUGUUCCUCAAAUGGGAGGUGGAAAUGAGGAGAAAGCUCGGGUAAUCCAGACACUCUUCUUCAUCACCGGCAUAAACACCUUACUGCAAACAUUCUUCGUGUCUUCACUCCCGUCAUGAUGGGUGGCUCCUACACCUUUGCCAUGCCAACCAUCUCCAUCAUCUUGGCCGAACGCUAUGACAGUGUGGCAGAUCCUCGUGAGGAGUUAAAGGACUGAUUGGUAGCUCUGCAUGCCGUUGGUAUAUUGAUGAUGACUUGACUCAGAUCAAUUAUUUCCAUGCUAGGUAUGUUCUCUUUCUAUGUCUUUCCCAUCGAUACCCUAUUUCCAUUCAUUUUUAGUUGAUGUGCCUAUUACUGUUGAAAUUGCCCUCGUUGUUAACCAAAAGUUCAGCCUUGUGGUUUCUAUUUCCAGCAAAAGCUUUCAGCCUACAAGCAUGCAGCUGUCCUUCCAGGUUAUCAGGAUUAAUCAUGCCUUCAAGCCUAAGCUAGGUCCCUUUGGGAUUUGGUGCUACUUCACAUGCUUCUGGAGCGUCAUCUUCUGUUGAAAGUUAUGGCGAGGCAUUGCCUGUUCUCACAUAUUUUCCUAUGGUCCCACCAUGCACGCCCUCAUCAAAGGAUGUACACAACUCACAUGGUUUAUCCUCACCUGGCGAGCGGCUCUGGAUGAGGUGUGAUCAUUACUUCUUCCCUCUCUACUUUCUUCUUACCAUGAUCUGGUUGUUACAUUGCAUAUGUACCAGAUGAACACCCCUAUAUCUACACUGGAUGGAAAGGGACAGGCUCUUGUGGUUAAACACCUAGCAAAUCACCAUGCCCUAAGAGUGCUCAUUGCAAACUCUUUGCUUCGCCUUCCAAGACCAAGGGAGCUGCACCACCUGAGUCUAUGGCCAAGGCUGCUACCCAGGCUGAAGGAACUGCUUCUACUAGAGAUGUUGUUGACCCUGCAUCCAUAGAAAAUGUUGUUUGAUACCCAUUUUGUUUUUUUUCCUUCUGCACAAUACAUGCUUGAUUUACAUAACCAUCUCAUGGUAGGAAACUAAACAAGAUUUACAUAACCAUCUCAUUUAACUAGCUUGAUAUAAGAUGUGCGCGUGCGCGCGUGUGUGUGUGUGCGUGUGUGUGCGUGCGUGCGUGCGUGCGUGCGUGUGUGUGUGUGUGUGAGAGAGAGAGAGAGAGAGCGCGCUAAUGAAUUUAAUGCGACAACUAUUGUUGUUCCUUUAGCAUGUGUUUCUUAAAAUCCAGUGGACCAUGUCUUCGUUUUUACAACAGAAAUAAUGCCUCUUCUUCUUCACUGAUACAUGCUAUUUGAUCAUCCUUUCUUUUUUCUCACUGCUGCAUGUAAGUUGAUUAACUAUGUAAUGUAAAUAACUUUUACUUUCAGGGUUAAGUAGGUGAUCUAUUUCAUGUUUAAUGUUGCUCUCAUUUGUUUGUUGUCGCAUGUGCAGCCAAUCCUUACUGUUGCUCACUGAUACAUACAAGUUAACUAGACUUUUAUGUUUCUCAAUGAUACAUACAAGCUAAUUAGCCAACUAAUUAGAUGAACUGUGCUUUCAGCUUUCAGCGUUCAGCCAUUUAUGUUGUCCUCUGUUUGCUAUUGCAAACCCUUAUGUCCUUGUUCUUUUUAUUUCAUUAUAUGCCUCUACGUUGUUUACACCAAAAAUCAAAUUAUCACUUGGUUGAUAUUUCUGCUAAUCAAUGCAUCAUAGGUCUAAUGCUGAUGCCAAUGCGUCGGCUCUGCAAAGAAAGCAAGGCAGUAGCUCUUCCAUGCUCUAGGUUCAUGUAUCUAUACAUUGAUAUUUCUGCUAAUCAAUGCAUCAUAGGUCUAGUGCUGAUGCCAAUGCGUCGGCUCUGCAAAGAAAGCAAGGCAGUAGCUCUUCCAUGCUCUAGGCAGGUCAGCAUGCAGCAAAGCAGUGACAGUAGCCACACAACCAACGACAUCAAGCAGCAAACAACAUGCAAAGGCUAUUUCUCACCCUGCUGUUAGUGGCAAGGUCCGAUGGAGCGGAGCAACGAGCUCCGGACAGCGACAAUGGCGGUCAACGUCGAGGAAGAAGCAGGAGGAACCUGCGGCUUCGAAUCCGUGGUCCAGAGGAGACGUGGACAACGCGUAGCCCGUCAUGGUCCCUGGCGUUGUUUGGUGAGGAGGAUGACCGCGACGACAUCACAGCGGUGGCCGGCAGAACAGAGGAAGGGGGCCUCGGUCCAAGAGGUUCCUGCACGCCAGCGCCCAGAAUCACCAUUAAAGGUAAGUUGGAGCAACAAUGGAGCUAGGGGAGCUACCUACGAGCAAAUAACACACUGGAAAAACGAGGUGGUUCACGGCGACGGCCAGCGGGCGUGCAUGUCGGAGCCGGAGGCGUUGACGUCGAUCCAGAACGAGGGCGGACGUAUCCUGCCGAUUCCUGUGGCUGGCGUUGUAACAAACAGCGUCCCCGGCGAGCUGGACUGAGAAAGGGGAUCCAAGAGAAAAGGAAAUGAAGUGAGGAGGGAAGUAUUGGGGUGGAGUAGGAGAUAAGGUGAAGGGGCAGGGGUCUGCGGGCACGCAUGGUGUGUCCCUGCGAUGCUGGACUGACCCAAGAGACCCACUGGUCAGUGGCAACGGGAGGGGUUGAAAGAAAAUAAAAACAAAUACAAUUGACUGGAAUAUCUUUCUCCUUUACUCCUUACUAGCUAAUUGCCCGUGCGUUGCAGCGGGGCCUACCUAUUCUAUUGGUUCAACACCAAUUGGUGUCUCACUCCUCCUUCGUUCUGUCAUUUCUCCACCGCUCUAAUCCAAACUCAUCACCUCUGUCAAUGAUCCAUCUGGCUCACAAUUUCCUGCUUCACCCCCACACCCCCAUCCAAACACAUACUUCAAAUUUUUGGGGGAAGACAAUGCCUCCAAUAAUAUUUGAUCUCUAUCAUUGUGCAUCCAAUCUAUUCAUCUCACUGUAUUACCAAACGAUCAUAUGCAUUAUAUUUGCCACCACAAAAGAGGGAAAUAGUGUCAUGAAAAUUGACCAACCAUGAUCAUAUUGACAAACCAUGUUCUUGUAUAGAAUUUAGUUGAUUGCAUAAUAGAGUCAGUUAUUUUGUUAUCAAUUAAUUUUAAUCAUUUUGUAAUAAUUAAUUUUACCUUUCUAGCAGAAUAUGUUGUUUUCAUGAAAGAGAAAAAAGUACGCUGAUGACAAGCUUCAUGACAGAUUUGACAGUUAUUAGGAAAAUCAUGUAAUGUAUGUAGGUUCAGUCCAGGAACAAAACAAAUGUACACUAUGAUGGCAAGCUUUGUGAGAAGAUGGCACAGUAUAGUCAA
Molecule: long non-coding RNA, 5880 nt
Organism: Triticum aestivum (bread wheat)
Lineage: Eukaryota; Viridiplantae; Streptophyta; Magnoliopsida; Poales; Poaceae
Exons: 7
Source: RefSeq, a predicted model, not a curated record